Molecule: ribosomal RNA, 492 nt
Filed under: uncultured bacterium
Lineage: Bacteria
Description: partial 16S ribosomal RNA
Rfam family: Bacterial small subunit ribosomal RNA
Source: RNAcentral
AGUGAACGCUGGCGGUAGGCCUAACACAUGCAAGUCGAACGGCAGCACAGUAAGAGCUUGCUCUUACGGGUGGCGAGUGGCGGACGGGUGAGGAAUACAUCGGAAUCUACUUUUUCGUGGGGGAUAACGUAGGGAAACUUACGCUAAUACCGCAUACGACCUACGGGUGAAAGCAGGGGAUCUUCGGACCCUGCGCGAUUGAAUGAGCCGAUGUCGGAUUAGCUAGUUGGCGGGGUAAAGGCCCACCAAGGCGACGAUCCGUAGCUGGUCUGAGAGGAUGAUCAGCCACACUGGAACUGAGACACGGUCCAGACUCCUACGGGAGGCAGCAGUGGGGAAUAUUGGACAAUGGGCGCAGGCCUGAUCCAGCCAUACCGCGUGGGUGAAGAAGGCCUUCGGGUUGUAAAGCCCUUUUGUUGGGAAAGAAAAGCAGCAGGUUAAUACCCCGCUGUUCUGACGGUACCCAAAGAAUAAGCACCGGCUAACUUCGUG